Ruditapes philippinarum (Manila clam) is the source of this 792-nucleotide long non-coding RNA. RefSeq lists it as uncharacterized. The transcript is spliced from 3 exons. NCBI's taxonomy places the organism in Eukaryota, Metazoa, Mollusca, Bivalvia, Venerida, Veneridae. The record is from RefSeq and is a predicted model, not a curated record.
AAUUGAUGAACAUUAUUAUAUGUAACCAGGAAAGUAAAUAUUUCAGUAGACAGUAGGCAGUGGGACAUGUACCGGAGGUACAAUCACUGUCUGGACAAAGUGACAAAGUAACAAAGUUUUAAGAAUUACUUAAAAGAUAUACCGGAACUGAUGUACUUGGCGAAGAAAUUUCAAAAAGGUGCCAUAAUACAGUACAAAUUCCAUUCUAAAAUAUGCUUUAUUUCACUUGGGAAAAGGUGUCAAAAUCACAAGAGAAAAUCUUCACUCAAGAUAAGUAUAUUGCUGUUAUGAAAACAAUACUUAGUCUGUAUCACAGUGUGUUUAUUUAGAAUAUAACUCUAAAACAUUUGCAUAAUGUAUUUGUUUAUUUAGCAAGAAUUUUGUUUAUACUUAUAUGCUCAAAGUAAGCUGCUAGCCUGGUUAUGCCGCACAAAAGAACAUCUUAUAAAAAUUUGUCACACCACAUAGAAGAACAUUAAUAGAUCCUGGUCACAACGCACAGAAGAACAUUAUGAUAGAGCCUGGUCACACCACACAGAAGACAUCAAUAUUGCCUCGUCGUGCCAUGUUUAUCAAGUAACGCCGGAAUGUGAAUAAAACGCACGAUUCGUGCAAUAAGUAACACAGAAUUGUGCAAUAAAUAGCGGAUACCUGACAGGAUUUCCAACGCGAUUCUUCAACAACCUAAGUUUCCAGCCGUCAGUUUAGUCAACAGUUGUCAAUCUGUACGCAGUAUCAAGAAUUCAAACACGAAAUACUGACGAGAAAGGGAAGAGUUGUAUCAAGGUAUUU